RNAcentral lists this long non-coding RNA (1321 nucleotides) under Homo sapiens (human). Its description in RNAcentral is "non-protein coding lnc-CHD2-4:12". Lineage: Eukaryota; Metazoa; Chordata; Mammalia; Primates; Hominidae. The record is from RNAcentral.
CUUUAUUGUGGGCCCUCCUCAGUGCCAACAUUGCUUUGUCUCUCGCUGGAGAAGCCUGUGAGAACGAGGAUGGGCAAAGUGUCAGGCUCUUGGUGCAGCUGAAAAUCCUUUGAGAUGGAAGAAAUGGCUGGAACAAAGGGGCAGAGGAACAAAAAGCCCUGAACUGCUUCGCCCCUGCCUCGUGGGGUCUUUAUCAUCUUAAACCUUGGGAUUUGAACAUCUGUCCAGUCCCUGGGAUGGUGAGGCUAUAACCACAAAGGAAUAAGAGAAGACGACUAGUUUUGUAAUGGGCACAGUGGAUUGAAGAGGGGGGCAGUGCUGAGUCAUUCACGUGGUGUGUGAGGGCUCCUGUUUGUAAAUCAGGGAUUCUUGCAGCCUGCUUUUUCAGGGACAUUGGCUGCUGUCUUCUGACCCACCCUGUGUGGCUUUGGCGUCUCCUGUGACCUCCCAGUAUGGGUCUUGGCCUCAUCCUGCCUCUUUGUCUUUCUGGCCCACCACCCACAGCUUGAAUCUCAGGCUCCAACAGUUGCCUGACCCCCAGAUUCUGAUGACAGCCUACCUACUUGUUCUUCAGGCCCUCACCAGACUCACUGCCCAGACACACCACACAGGAGAACAUGAAAGGGUGAAUGAAUCUUUCAUCAUUUGAUGACCAAGUUGGCAUUCUUUUACAUUCCAGCCACCAGAGGAAGGUGUAUUUUAACACAAUUGCCCUCACAUCCUCCUUAACAGGAUUUACAUAAGUUUAUUAACACAUAUGUUUCUACAAAAUCAAGUUUUGAGAACCAUUUUUAUACACUGAUCUGGGACAUUUUGGGGAUAUGAAAUUAACUUUAGCACACACAGCAAGAAGAAAACCGAACAACAAAUUCUACAAACACCAAAUUUGCUGUGAAAUUUACAUUUCAGAAUCUCUCAAGAAAUAGUGCCCAGCAGCAAUUCUUACUGUUUUCACUUUUUCCCCCGUCUUCACAUUUUUAUGUUUGACAGUGCCAACAUAUUUUCUCAACAUUUAUUCUGAAAGGAAUGUACUUUGUGAAUUCCUUAAAUGCAGGAUGAUUCUGAUUUUAUUGGCCUAAUAGCUCCUCCUUAUGCGUGGGUUAGUAUAACAGAAUGCAUUUGAGACCUGCUAUACUAUUUUAAAUUAAGACAUUUCAUGUAGCACAUAGUAUUUUAAAAUGAAGAACAUUGUCUUGGAAAGCACACAGGCUAACUGCUAUUUUCUUGAUGCAAGAAAUAUUUAAAUUCUCUGUGCUUCAGUCUAUACAAUCAGUUUUCCAGGGAUGCUGUGUAUAUAAAACGAGGGAGUGUAUUAAGAGUA